Molecule: ribosomal RNA, 301 nt
Filed under: uncultured bacterium
Lineage: Bacteria
Description: partial 16S ribosomal RNA
Rfam family: Bacterial small subunit ribosomal RNA
Source: RNAcentral
CAGUCGCCACGGUAAUACGUAGGGUGCGAGCGUUAAUCGGAAUUACUGGGCGUAAAGCGUGCGCAGGCGGUUCGUUAAGACAGAUGUGAAAUCCCCGGGCUUAACCUGGGAACUGCAUUUGUGACUGUAUAGCUAGAGUACGGCAGAGGGGGAUGGAAUUCCGCGUGUAGCAGUGAAAUGCGUAGAUAUGCGGAGGAACACCGAUGGCGAAGGCAAUCCCCUGGGCCUGUACUGACGCUCAUGCACGAAAGCGUGGGGAGCAAACAGGAUUAGAUACCCCCGUAGUCCCUGUCUCUUAUAA